UUGGAGGGCAAGUCUGGUGCCAGCAGCCGCGGUAAUUCCAGCUCCAAUAGCGUAUAUUAAAGUUGUUGCAGUUAAAAAGCUCGUAGUUGAAUUUCGGGGUCAGCAAGUUGGUCGUGCCACUGGUAUGCACUGGCUUUGCUGAUUCCUCCUUCUUGUAGAACCGUAAUGCCAUUAAGUUGGUGUUGCGGGGAAACAGGACUGUUACUUUGAAAAAAUUAGAGUGUUUAAAGCAGGCUAACGCUUGAAUACAUUAGCAUGGAAUAAUGAAAUAGGACGACGGUCCUAUUUUGUUGGUUUCUAGGGUUGACGUAAUGAUUAAUAGGGAUAGUUGGGGGCAUUAGUAUUCAAUUGUCAGAGGUGAAAUUCUUGGAUUUAUUGAAGACUAACUACUGCGAAAGCAUUUGCCAAGGAUGUUUUCAUUAAUCAAGAACGAAAGUUAGGGGAUCGAAGACGAUCAGAUACCGUCGUAGUCUUAACCAUAAACUAUGCCGACUAGGGAUCGGAUGAUGUUAAUUUUAUAAUGACUCAUUCGGCGCCUUACGGGAAAC
RNAcentral lists this ribosomal RNA (548 nucleotides) under uncultured Glomeromycotina. RNAcentral's name for it is "SSU rRNA". It matches the Rfam family "Eukaryotic small subunit ribosomal RNA", at positions 548 to 1098 of the family's 1831-position model. Lineage: Eukaryota; Fungi; Glomeromycota. The record is from RNAcentral.